Molecule: long non-coding RNA, 1016 nt
Organism: Pygocentrus nattereri (red-bellied piranha)
Lineage: Eukaryota; Metazoa; Chordata; Actinopteri; Characiformes; Serrasalmidae
Source: Ensembl
GGAGGGUCUUCUUUAAGGCAACUUGAAUAUGGUUGGAUUAUUAUAUCUACCUUUUCUUAUCAUGACCUAUUGUGGUCAUGCUGCUGGAGAUAUCUCAACAGUGAGGGUUCAGCCUGGAGUUUCCACCAGUCUUGAGUGCCACAUUCAGCUAGAGGGCAGCUUUAAUGUAUUUUGGAUCAAAUUUCCACUUAAUAAAGCUCCGGUCUGUAUAGCUACAGUUAAAACCUUUGCGGAUGAUGCAGCAAUGUGUGAACAGUUUGAAAACCAUUCCAGGAUCAAAGUCACAUGGAACAAAAAGAACUUCAAUUUAACAUUUUCAUCAGUGGAACAAGCAGAUGUUGCGAUAUACUUUUGUGGGACAUAUAAUUAUGGACAGCAUUUUUUUGGAAAUGGGAGUGAGCUCAUCCUUGAAGAACAUGUUGAUGAAGUAUCAUCGAACAUAAAUGAAAAAAAGCAAGUGUUUGAAUAUUUAGUUCCAGCAUUAACAGUAACUAAUGUGGCAUCAAUAUUUCUCAUCAUUUGGUUCCUUUUAAAGAAGAACAGAUCAGGUGUAACAGGUGAAUCCAAGGAUGCAAGUGACAAAACAGAUGAAGUAAACUACGGUGCUCUGACUUUUCAUGACAAAAAGAGGAGAACUGUAGAGAAGAGGACACCACGUGGACACCAUGUGGACACCACGGUCAUUUACGGAGCUGUACGACACCAAGAGGAAUUAUAACUCACAGAAGAAAACGUAUCUUAAUACAUAUCUUAAUUCACAUGCAGUACUAUGUGUGCUUUUGUAACGUUCUGUAAAAUCAACCCUCACAUUGUUCUAACUCUGUUAUAUGAAAUCCAAGCCCCACUUAGCAAUGAGAGGAAAAUAAAAACAUUACACUCCCCUGAAAUUAAAUCUGUUUGAUACAGAAUGUGGAAUUUUGUUGAAGAAAUUAAAAUGAGAAUGAGUGUAGGGGAAUUAAGUGUAUGGCACUAUAGUCACAAACUAUUCAUGAAUAGGCCAAAAUCCUGAAAAGCAC